CAAUUUUUUUCCUACUUAUAGGGGGACACUCUGCUCAUUGCAGCUGCAAAGAAUGGUCACACUGAUAUUGUUAGGUUACUUUUAGAGAACGGAGCUGAUGUCAACGAAGGAGUAUGGGAGGACACUCCGCUCACUGCAGCUGCAAAGAAUGGUCACACUGAUAUUGUUAGGUUACUUUUAGAGAACGGAGCUGAUUUCAACAAAGGAGUACAGGAGGUCACUCUGCUCACUGCAGCUGUAAAGAAUGGUCACACUGAUAUUAAGUUACUUUUGAAGAAAGGAGCCGAUGUCAACAAUGGAGUAGGGGUACGUUAGAAGCAAAAAUUGUAUUUGUUAUAUCGGGUUUAGUGAAAGUUUGAAAGUCAAGUUCUGUAUGGUUGGUCGAAUUUUUUUCGCUGUUGAGAAAAACGUUCUAAAAGUUGCGAGCUCUUUCUACUCCUUUCU
This 444-nucleotide unclassified non-coding RNA is filed under the name Stylophora pistillata. RNAcentral describes it as "gA-binding protein subunit beta-2-like, transcript variant X1". Lineage: Eukaryota; Metazoa; Cnidaria; Anthozoa; Scleractinia; Pocilloporidae. The record is from RNAcentral.